Molecule: ribosomal RNA, 452 nt
Filed under: uncultured bacterium
Lineage: Bacteria
Description: bacterial SSU rRNA
Rfam family: Bacterial small subunit ribosomal RNA
Source: RNAcentral
AACGAACGCUGGCGGCAGGCCUAACACAUGCAAGUCGAGCGGGGGAGCAAUCCCUAGCGGCGGACGGGUUAGUAACGCGUGGGAACGUGCCCAAAGGUACGGAAUAGCCUCGGGAAACUGAGAGUAAUACCGUAUGUGCCCCUCGGGGGAAAGAUUUAUCGCCUUUGGAUCGGCCCGCGUUGGAUUAGGUAGUUGGUGGGGUAAUGGCCUACCAAGCCGACGAUCAAUAGCUGGUUUGAGAGGAUGAUCAGCAACACUGGGACUGAGACACGGCCCAGACUCCUACGGGAGGCAGCAGUGGGGAAUCUUAGACAAUGGGGGAAACCCUGAUCUAGCCAUGCCGCGUGGACGAUGAAGGCCUUAGGGUUGUAAAGUCCUUUCAGAUGGGAAGAUAAUGACGGUACCAUCAGAAGAAGCCCCGGCUAACUCCGUGCCAGCCGCCGCGGUAAAAC